AUUUAUGUGACACCAAUGAUGAUACUUGUGCUGCGGUAGUGAUUGCUUGCUUAACGGAAAAGAAAAAAAUAAAGUGGAAAAGAAAGCAGAGGGUAUGGAUGAAGAAAUAGCUGAAGAAGAGGGAUCAACUUAGUCAUGAUCGGUCAGUAACUGAGCUUAUAAUAUAUUGAAAUAUAUUUUUGUAUGCCGCAUCCUUCUUAAUUCUAUUCUUAUAGAUUUUACUUUUAAGUUUUAACUUUCCAUAAUUCAGGGAACUCAUGAUAAAGGGCGAUAAAUUCAAGGCAAAAAAA
Molecule: non-coding RNA, 290 nt
Organism: Cinara cedri
Lineage: Eukaryota; Metazoa; Arthropoda; Insecta; Hemiptera; Aphididae
Source: the annotation of a GenBank genome assembly